RNAcentral lists this ribosomal RNA (439 nucleotides) under uncultured bacterium. Its description in RNAcentral is "partial 16S ribosomal RNA". It matches the Rfam family "Bacterial small subunit ribosomal RNA", at positions 339 to 795 of the family's 1533-position model. The record is from RNAcentral.
CUACGGGAGGCAGCAGUGAGGAAUAUUGCACAAUGGGGGGAACCCUGAUGCAGCAACGCCGCGUGGAGGAUGACGCAUUUCGGUGUGUAAACUCCUUUUAUAUGUCAAGAAAAUGACGGUAGCAUAUGAAUAAGCACCGGCUAACUCCGUGCCAGCAGCCGCGGUAAUACGGAGGGUGCAAGCGUUACUCGGAAUCACUGGGCGUAAAGGACGCGUAGGCGGGUUGGAAAGUCAGGUGUGAAAUCCUACAGCUUAACUGUAGAACCGCACUUGCAACUUCUAAUCUAGAGUAUGGGAGGGGGAGAUGGAAUUCGUGGUGUAGGGGUGAAAUCCGUAGAUAUCACUAGGAAUACCUAAAGCGAAGGCGAUCUCCUGGAACAUUACUGACGCUAAGGCGUGAAAGCGUGGGGAGCAAACAGGAUUAGAUACCCCCGUAGUC